This 497-nucleotide ribosomal RNA is filed under the name uncultured bacterium. Its description in RNAcentral is "partial 16S ribosomal RNA". It matches the Rfam family "Bacterial small subunit ribosomal RNA", at positions 28 to 507 of the family's 1533-position model. The record is from RNAcentral.
GAUGAACGCUGGCGGCGUGCCUAGUACAUGCAAGUCGAGCGAACAGACGAGGAGCUUGCUCCUCUGACGUUAGCGGCGGACGGGUGAGUAACACGUGGAUAACCUACCUAUAAGACUGGGAUAACUUCGGGAAACCGGAGCUAAUACUGGAUAACAUGUUGAACCGCAUGGUUCAACAGUGAAAGACGGUUUUGCUGUCACUUAUAGAUGGAUCCGCGUCGCAUUAGCUAGUUGGUAAGGUAACGGCUUACCAAGGCAACGAUGCGUAGCCGACCUGAGAGGGUGAUCGGCCACACUGGAACUGAGACACGGUCCAGACUCCUACGGGAGGCAGCAGUAGGGAAUCUUCCGCAAUGGGCGAAAGCCUGACGGAGCAACGCCGCGUGAGUGAAGAAGGUCUUCGGAUCGUAAAACUCUGUUAUUAGGGAAGAACAAAUGUGUAAGUAACUAUGCACGUCUUGACGGUACCUAAUCAGAAAGCCACGGCUAACUACGUG